Molecule: unclassified non-coding RNA, 285 nt
Filed under: Keithomyces carneus
Lineage: Eukaryota; Fungi; Ascomycota; Sordariomycetes; Hypocreales; Clavicipitaceae
Description: sequence contains 5.8S rRNA gene
Rfam family: 5.8S ribosomal RNA (bases 1-53)
Source: RNAcentral
GAACGCACAUUGCGCCCGCCAGUAUUCUGGCGGGCAUGCCUGUUCGAGCGUCAUUUCAACCCUCAAGUCCCCUGUGGACUCGGUGUUGGGGACCGGCGAGACAGCCGCGGAUCUUCUUCCGCAGCGAGUCGCCGCCCCCCAAAUGACUUGGCGGCCUCGUCGCGGCCCUCCUCUGCGUAGUAUAGCACACCUCGCAACAGGAGCCCGGCGAAUGGCCACUGCCGUAAAACCCCCCAACUUUUUCAGAGUUGACCUCGAAUCAGGUAGGAAUACCCGCUGAACUUA